Molecule: ribosomal RNA, 445 nt
Filed under: uncultured bacterium
Lineage: Bacteria
Description: partial 16S ribosomal RNA
Rfam family: Bacterial small subunit ribosomal RNA
Source: RNAcentral
GUGAGGAAUAUUGGUCAAUGGGCGCGAGCCUGAACCAGCCAAGUAGCGUGAGGGAUGACUGCCCUAUGGGUUGUAAACCUCUUUUGCAGGGGGGUAAAGUGGUUCACGUGUGGACCAUUGCAAGUACCCUGCGAAUAAGGAUCGGCUAACUCCGUGCCAGCAGCCGCGGUAAUACGGAGGAUCCGAGCGUUAUCCGGAUUUAUUGGGUUUAAAGGGAGCGUAGGCGGGGGUUUAAGUCAGCUGUGAAAUGCCGUGGCCCAACCAUGGAACUGCAGUUGAAACUGGACCUCUUGAGAGUACAUAAGGAAGGCGGAAUUCGUGGUGUAGCGGUGAAAUGCAUAGAUAUCACGAAGAACUCCGAUUGCGAAGGCAGCUUUCCGGGGUACAUCUGACGCUGAAGCUCGAAAGUGCGGGAAUCAAACAGGAUUAGAUACUCGUGUAGUCC